AUUGAACGCUGGCGGCAUGCCUUACACAUGCAAGUCGAACGGUAACGGGCCUUCGGGUGCCGACGAGUGGCGAACGGGUGAGUAAUGCAUCGGAACGUACCCAUCAGUGGGGGAUAACUCUCCGAAAGGAGGGCUAAUACCGCAUAUUCUGUGCGCAGGAAAGCGGGGGACCGCAAGGCCUCGCGCUGAUGGAGCGGCCGAUGUCAGAUUAGCUAGUUGGUGGGGUAAAGGCCUACCAAGGCGACGAUCUGUAGCGGGUCUGAGAGGAUGAUCCGCCACACGGGGACUGAGACACGGCCCAGACUCCUACGGGAGGCAGCAGUGGGGAAUUUUGGACAAUGGGGGCAACCCUGAUCCAGCCAUGCCGCGUGAGUGAAGAAGGCCUUCGGGUUGUAAAGCUCUUUCGGCCGGGAAGAAAUCGCAUCUCCUAAUACGGGGUGUGGAUGACGGUACCGGAAUAAGAAGCACCGGCUAACUACGUGCCAGCCGCCGCAGUAA
This 498-nucleotide ribosomal RNA is filed under the name uncultured bacterium. Its description in RNAcentral is "partial 16S ribosomal RNA". It matches the Rfam family "Bacterial small subunit ribosomal RNA", at positions 29 to 523 of the family's 1533-position model. The record is from RNAcentral.